RNAcentral lists this long non-coding RNA (871 nucleotides) under Nicotiana tabacum (common tobacco). RNAcentral's name for it is "long non-coding RNA (NTAB_LNC015616)". Lineage: Eukaryota; Viridiplantae; Streptophyta; Magnoliopsida; Solanales; Solanaceae. The record is from RNAcentral.
AGUCUUAAAUGCCCUAUAGCCUCCUGCUUAUAAGUGUGGUGCAUGACACACCCAUAAAUAAGACUCUACUAGACACGGCUUGUAGACUCCCUAGGACAGAACUGCUCUGAUACCACUUUUGUCAUGACCCAAACCGAUGGGCCACGACGGGCACCCGGUACCUUACUCAACCGAGUACCAAUGUAACGUAUCUUUCAUAUUACAUCAUCAUAUACACGUGACAUACGAGCCUAAUAGGCCAACAUUAUUAUUUACAAACUCAAAACAAAGGACGACAAGGCUGUACAAUCUUUUAUAUACACGACAUAUGUCUACAAGCCUCUAAGAGUACAUAAAUGUCAUAAAGGUCAGGACAGAGUCCCGCCUUACCAAACAAUACACGUCUAAAUCAUACUAACCAAACGAGCAACUCCGAAGUAAAUGGAGUGCACCAACAUCUUUCGCUGAGCUGAUAGCCUACUUGGAGGGCUCUCGACCUGUCUAUCGGGACCUGCGGGCAUGAAAUGCAGCAUCCCCAAGCAAAAGGGACGUCAGUACGAAUAAUGUACCGAGUAUGUAAGGCACAUAAAUAAAUACAUAAGAGGCAUGAAAGACAUAUAGAGUACAUGACUUAACCUGUAAGUCUGAAUAACUUUGUAAAUCAUAAAUUACUUUGAGCGUCGUGCAUAUGCGAAUGAAUGUCAUGUCGUGCAUAGGUACAUAUUUCAUAACAUCAUCAACCUCUGAGGGCAUCCCAUCAUAUCAUAUCGGCCACUGUAGGAAAAAUCAUCAUCGUAGACCAGCUGAUCAGGUGGUGGUGCGUAUAUAACGUCAUAACCUUUCCCAUAUCCAUAUACAUAUAUACAUACAUAUAUAUGCGUAUAUAACGUCG